GCUUGCUUUGGCAGUGCAUGUACUAAAAUUGGAACAACACUGAGAGAAGAUUAGCAUGGCCCCUGAGCAAAGAAUGACAUCUAGCUCUGUGAAGUGUUCUAUAUAUUU
Molecule: small nuclear RNA, 108 nt
Organism: Grammomys surdaster
Lineage: Eukaryota; Metazoa; Chordata; Mammalia; Rodentia; Muridae
Source: RefSeq, a predicted model, not a curated record